Molecule: ribosomal RNA, 253 nt
Filed under: uncultured bacterium
Lineage: Bacteria
Description: partial 16S ribosomal RNA
Rfam family: Bacterial small subunit ribosomal RNA
Source: RNAcentral
GACGAACCGAGCGAACGUUGUUCGGAAUCACUGGGCUUAAAGGGCGCGUAGGCGGUGCGGUAAGUCACCUGUGAAAUCUCCUGGCUCAACUGGGAGCUUGCAGGCGAAACUGCCGUGCUGGAGUGUGGGAGAGGUGCGUGGAAUUCCUGGUGUAGCGGUGAAAUGCGUAGAUAUCAGGAGGAACACCGGUGGCGAAGGCGGGUCUCUGGGCCAUUACUGACGCUGAGGAGCGAAAGCGUGGGGAGCGAACAGG